Molecule: long non-coding RNA, 1605 nt
Filed under: Gossypium barbadense (sea-island cotton)
Lineage: Eukaryota; Viridiplantae; Streptophyta; Magnoliopsida; Malvales; Malvaceae
Description: long non-coding RNA (GBAR_LNC012966)
Source: RNAcentral
UGUUAUUGAGAGAUGUUAUCCUUACUUUGGGGAGUUUGUUGAGGCAAACGACCUACAUGACUGGGUUUCGAGGGUCAUCCUUUACGUGGAAAAGAUGAUGAGUCUUUAAAAAGCUAGACCAAGCACUCAGUAAUGCUACUUAGAUUCGAACCUUCCAUGUAACAACCCGAUAGUUACGAGUGUCGGAAAGUGUACUUUUGGGUCUCCUUUUUGUAAAAUGGAUUUGUAAAUAUUUAUUAAAAAUAUUUACGAAGUUAGUUGUGUGAUUAAUUAGGUUUUGGCUAGGUGAGUUAGCUUGAAUUAAGGGUUGUAACAGGCCCAUUUCGCCUGGGCUUACACCAAAACCAAAACCAAAAAAAUAAAACAAAAAUAAUAAAACCAAAAUAAUUUAAAGGUCCAGAGUCCAUUUACACCCACAUUUUAAUAGCCCAAAACAAAAACAAAACAUCAAUCUAGCUUACAAAACAAUGACCCAAAUUAAACCCAAAGUCCCAAAACCAGACCUAGCCCAGAAGAAAUACAAAGCCUAAAUGGCCUAGGACAUUUGUGAGCAGAAACCCUAAGGGUUCAUUUCCCUUUGCAUCGCAGCUUGUUAGGUUGGAAAAGGCCUCCAAGCCCACGAACGGCCCCUCCUUUCGUAUGACCAUCACCACAAUGGAACCUGCGAGAAGAAAUAACAGAAACAAUAUCAAAAGCCAGCAAAUGACAGCAAGAAAAUAGAAUUUUAUUUUUCUUUUAUUUAUGUUAUAAAUCGGCUAUAAAAAGCCAUCAUUUGUACUGUAAAUGGAUUACGGAUGCUUGAUACAAAGAAAAAGCAAUCAAAAAUAAUUGAAAAGGUGAUUUUAAAUUCCUUAUAAUUUCUUUCUUUUCAAUUGGUUUUUCCUUUCGAGUGUUGCAUGUGGGUUCUUAACAAUAGAGUCCAAAAAAAAAAGGGAUUUACCUUAACGAUCGAAGUCCAUCUUCUUCAUCGCAAUCGAAGUAAAGAUGGAAUGUCGUCGCAAUCAGGGCUCGUUCCUACAAGACACCUCUGAGUGUCACUGACCAUUGCUUACAGUGGUGUAAGAGCGUUCGGAUUUUGGAGUGUUAAUCGGCCGAAUAGUGAAAGGUGAAAUUUCCUUUGUUUUUGAAGUGGCUAGGGUUUGGUCUUUGAAGAUCGGUUAAAGAAGGGGAAAAUUAGGGAUUUGCUUUGAUUGUUUAAAGAAAAUGGCAGAUUGCGAUCCAAUUUCUUUUAGUUUUAAUGUUAAACAACGACGCCGUUUGGUAAAACAAGAAAGCCCGCGCGUUGACCCGAUUUGUAAGCUGGAUAUGCGCAUUUUUACCUUAAAUGGGAAAUUUACGUGGCCAGUCCCUCCCAUUUGCGUCACCCUUAAUUUAAUCCUAUCCUAUUUCUUUCAUUUCUGCCCUGAAGUUUGCGCGCCAUUCCAAUUCACUCCGCGCCUAAGUGGUUUUUUUUGGGGGUUGAGAGCAUUUGCACUUUUAGCCCUUGUGCAUUCACGCGCAUUGCAUUUUAGUCCUUAUGACAAUUUCAUUGAUUUAUUUUAUUUAUUAAUUAUCUCUGUUAGUUUAAUUUUAUUUCAAUUAAGUUUUUUUUUCAUUUCAAUUUGU